RNAcentral lists this ribosomal RNA (507 nucleotides) under uncultured bacterium. Its description in RNAcentral is "partial 16S ribosomal RNA". It matches the Rfam family "Bacterial small subunit ribosomal RNA", at positions 28 to 507 of the family's 1533-position model. The record is from RNAcentral.
GACGAACGCUGGCGGCGUGCCUAAUACAUGCGAGUCGAACGCAUUUUCUUUCACCGUAGCUUGCUACACCGAAAGAAAAUGAGUGGCGAACGGGUGAGUAACACGUGGGUAACCUGCCCAUCAGCGGGGGAUAACACUUGGAAACAGGUGCUAAUACCGCAUAAUUCCAUUUACCGCAUGGUAGAUGGAUGAAAGGCGCUUUUGCGUCACUGAUGGAUGGACCCGCGGUGCAUUAGCUAGUUGGUGGGGUAACGGCCUACCAAGGCUGCGAUGCAUAGCCGACCUGAGAGGGUGAUCGGCCACACUGGGACUGAGACACGGCCCAGACUCCUACGGGAGGCAGCAGUAGGGAAUCUUCGGCAAUGGACGCAAGUCUGACCGAGCAACGCCGCGUGAGUGAAGAAGGGUUUCGGAUCGUAAAACUCUGUUGUUAGAGAAGAACAAGGAUGAGAGUGGAAAGUUCAUCCCUUGACGGUAUCUAACCAGAAAGCCACGGCUAACUACGUG